UUGAGAAGAUCCAACAGUGCACCCAUGAUAAAUGGCUUAAGUGAUAACUCCCAGGUGUUCCAGAGAGAGGUCCUGCGUAGCCGGAGAAAUAGCACCACAGUUGUCAACAGGCCCAACAUGGUCCCUUCAUCACUGUUCGCAUCCCCAGCUCCAGACUUCAUCAGAUAAAACAAGAGGGGGUGUGGAUGUGAUGAACAGAGAAACUGCCCAUGAGCGGGAGGUUCAAGCUGCCAUGCAAAUGAGCCAGUCCUGGGAAGAAAGCCGAGUCUGAGUGACAAUGAUUUGGAGAAGUCGGCAUCUUCGUCUCCAAAGCGUCGACUUUGUGCCUGUGUCGCCCUGCACCAUCUCAACAAGAGGGAUAGGAAAAAAAGGUACAUCUGACCUCCGUGUUUUUACAUGCACAUAACCGGAUUAUACUAUGAGAGGAAGGUAGUAGUUAAAGCAUUUUCAUGGUCUGCUGUAAUCUGAUUUCACUAACAACUUGCAGUCAGAUUGAUGAAUGGAAGUCUGCGUGGCAGCCUACAGGAAGCAAUUUGGUUGGUGCAGCUUAAAAAAAUAGACUGUAUUUUAGUGCAAGCCACACCAGUGUUGGUUAUAGAAACACUUCUUUACAUCUGAUUUUUGAAGUUGAUCAAAAGGUUGUUAAUUGGCCGCUGGUCGUAAUUAUACAAACUUCUUAAAUAUACUAAAAGAAGGGGCGACCUCUAGUUCCUGCAUUCCACGUGCUAUUCUUCCUAAGGUCCUUACAACUCACUUGAAAAUGCGGCAAUAAAUCACAUAACAUCAUAAACCAUAAAAAAUUUAAAUUGUAAGACAAUAAAAAACAAAACCAAAAAAAACGUACACUAUCAUUUAUGGCAACUCAUAAAUAAAGUGAAUCGUUGGUAAACGGCCGCCCUUGCGUGAUG
Molecule: long non-coding RNA, 908 nt
Organism: Etheostoma spectabile (orangethroat darter)
Lineage: Eukaryota; Metazoa; Chordata; Actinopteri; Perciformes; Percidae
Exons: 6
Source: RefSeq, a predicted model, not a curated record